CCAUGUUUUGUCCCAAGAGAUGUCAGUGGCAAAAGGAAGGUACAUUGUCCACUGGGAAUAUACUAUGUAAUUGCUUUCUCCCCCUAUGUUAUGCUAGAAUUUUCUGGAAAACAGAUAAACAGUAAAACUAAGAUUUGUUAUGCAUUUCACUUUUAACACAUUUAAAGAUAGAAACUCACUGCAAACACCGAAAUAAGCACACCUUCCACUGGCAUCUUUGCUACUCCCACCCUCCAUUAGGACCACAUAGAAUCCAGUAGGCUGCCUCCUGGACUCAUGGAGAUCCCUCUGCCCUUCCCUAAUAAUUUAUCCCAGAGCUGUUAACUCCAGAAUGACCCAUCCCUGUUCUUUAAGCUGGUAAUGAAAAAUAAACAAACAGUGAAUACUGGAUUCUCAUGUAGGUGAGGGCAUGUCACAGACUCUCUGACCCUUACUUGAUGCUCCUGUGUUGACCACCUGUUUCCCGGAUCAGAGGCCCUGGCAGAGUGGGAGGAGCCACGAUCUGGCACAGUGCUAGGAGUUGCCUCCAGGGUUUAUCUUUGAUUUCAGUCUAUUGUGACAAAAGUUUUGCUAUUCUUGCCACUGAUAUGUUUCUGUUGCAAUCUGCUUUUCCCCUGGGAUGUCAAGACUUCAAGAGCAGGAAGCACACUAUGUUGUCCUUGACAUAAGUCCACUUGUGUAGAUGUGUUUGUUGUUCUGGGAAGUGGGACUUGGGGUAGAAAUUUUAGAAUUGAAACCAUAGGAGGCAGUGAGUUCAAAUGGGGUGAAUGUGUGAGAAAAGGAUAUAGGAUUAAUUCACCACACAGAGGAAAAAACAUCUUUCUGACACCAGUGAUUCAAGGCUGAAAAAUGCAAUGAAAAUGGAGAUUCUGUUAAAAUAGAAACAGGACAUUAAAUUCUUGGCUACUAAUAUCAU
RNAcentral lists this long non-coding RNA (916 nucleotides) under Pan troglodytes (chimpanzee). Its description in RNAcentral is "long non-coding RNA NONPTRT015235". The record is from RNAcentral. Lineage: Eukaryota; Metazoa; Chordata; Mammalia; Primates; Hominidae.